UUGAGAAAAUGUGGUCAAGGUAGUUCAUCUCUCCCAGACACAAACUGUUUCUUGCCCAGAGCGGAAUUUCUCAAUUAUGCUUCCUGUCAUCAUCGGCUUCUUGUCUGGGCUCAUCAACAUUUCAGCCAAGUUACUCUGCUGUGAAGUCACUGGAAAGAGCAGACCCCACACCACGCUGCUCUUCUCAGAGCCGUGAA
Molecule: non-coding RNA, 197 nt
Organism: Sorex araneus (European shrew)
Lineage: Eukaryota; Metazoa; Chordata; Mammalia; Eulipotyphla; Soricidae
Source: Rfam